AAAAAUACAUAAAAAUUUAAAACUUUUCUUUCGUUCACACACCAAACUCAACCUGUGCAUGCACUGUACAUAAACAUAAUCAUAAUCAUGACCCCUCGGUGGGAUCUCAUCAAUGCCCCAAUGGGCGAUACAUCAUAAGUUGAGUUGGUUUGCAUAAUCAUCAUAAAAUAUCUAAAAUCAUGUAUUAAAAGGGAUAUCUUCUACAUAUAGUCAAGCACAACCUCUAAUCCUCAAUGUCAUUNN
Molecule: long non-coding RNA, 243 nt
Filed under: Manihot esculenta (cassava)
Lineage: Eukaryota; Viridiplantae; Streptophyta; Magnoliopsida; Malpighiales; Euphorbiaceae
Description: long non-coding RNA (MESC_LNC010049)
Source: RNAcentral